Molecule: unclassified non-coding RNA, 55 nt
Filed under: Salinivibrio sp. ES.052
Lineage: Bacteria; Pseudomonadati; Pseudomonadota; Gammaproteobacteria; Vibrionales; Vibrionaceae
Source: RNAcentral
GAAGGCACGACAUUGCUCACAUUGCUUCCAGUGUAUUAGCGGGGCGCUUAUCAGA